UACGGAGGAUCCGAGCGUUAUCCGGAUUUAUUGGGUUUAAAGGGUGCGUAGGCGGUUUGAUAAGUUAGAGGUGAAAUGUCGGGGCUCAACCCCGAAACUGCCUCUAAUACUGUUGGACUAGAGAAUAGUUGCGGUAGGCGGAAUGUAUGGUGUAGCGGUGAAAUGCUUAGAGAUCAUACAGAACACUGAUCGCGAAGGCAGCUUACCAAACUAUAUCUGACGUUGAGGCACGAAAGCGUGGGUAGCAAACAGG
Molecule: ribosomal RNA, 253 nt
Filed under: uncultured bacterium
Lineage: Bacteria
Description: partial 16S ribosomal RNA
Rfam family: Bacterial small subunit ribosomal RNA
Source: RNAcentral